This 440-nucleotide ribosomal RNA is filed under the name uncultured bacterium. RNAcentral's name for it is "partial 16S ribosomal RNA". It matches the Rfam family "Bacterial small subunit ribosomal RNA", at positions 338 to 795 of the family's 1533-position model. The record is from RNAcentral.
CCUACGGGUGGCUGCAGUGGGGGAUAUUGCACAAUGGGGGAAACCCUGAUGCAGCGACGCCGCGUGUGGGAAGACGGUCCUCUGGAUUGUAAACCACUUUCCCCAGGGACGAAGCUGACGGUACCUGGGGAGGAAGCUCCGGCUAACUACGUGCCAGCAGCCGCGGUAAUACGUAGGGAGCGAGCGUUGUCAGGAAUUACUGGGUGUAAAGGGAGCGUAGGCGGGGAUGCAAGUUGGGUGUCAAAACUACCGGCUCAACUGGUAGGCGACCUCAAAACUGCAGCUCUGGAGUGAAGUAGAGGCAGGCGGAAUUCCUGGUGGAGCGGGGAAAUGCGUAGAUAUUAGGAGGAACACCAGUGGCGAAGGCGGCCUGCGGGGCGUUUACUGACGCUGAGGCUCGAAAGUGUGGGGAGCAAACAGGAUUAGAUACCCGGGUAGUC